UAAUUGGUUUUUCUCAAAACCAGCUUAUUUUUUAUAAAAAUAGGAAU
This is a non-coding RNA of Plasmodium berghei, 47 nucleotides long. NCBI's taxonomy places the organism in Eukaryota, Apicomplexa, Aconoidasida, Haemosporida, Plasmodiidae. The record is from Rfam.